AUUGAACGCUGGCGGCAGGCCUAACACAUGCAAGUCGAACGGUAACAGGAAAAAGCUUGCUGCUUCGCUGACGAGUGGCGGACGGGUGAGUAAUGUCUGGGAAACUGCCUGAUGGAGGGGGAUAACUACUGGAAACGGUAGCUAAUACCGCAUAACGUCGCAAGACCAAAGAGGGGGACCUUCGGGCCUCUUGCCAUCGGAUGUGCCCAGAUGGGAUUAGCUAGUAGGUGGGGUAACGGCUCACCUAGGCGACGAUCCCUAGCUGGUCUGAGAGGAUGACCAGCCACACUGGAACUGAGACACGGUCCAGACUCCUACGGGAGGCAGCAGUGGGGAAUAUUGCACAAUGGGCGCAAGCCUGAUGCAGCCAUGCCGCGUGUAUGAAGAAGGCCUUCGGGUUGUAAAGUACUUUCAGCGGGGAGGAAGGGAGUAAAGUUAAUACCUUUGCUCAUUGACGUUACCCGCAGAAGAAGCACCGGCUAACUCCGUGCCAGCAGCCGCGGUAAUACGGAGGGUGCAAGCGUUAAUCGGAAUUACUGGGCGUAAAGCGCACGCAGGCGGUUUGUUAAGUCAGAUGUGAAAUCCCCGGGCUCAACCUGGGAACUGCAUCUGAUACUGGCAAGCUUGAGUCUCGUAGAGGGGGGUAGAAUUCCAGGUGUAGCGGUGAAAUGCGUAGAGAUCUGGAGGAAUACCGGUGGCGAAGGCGGCCCCCUGGACGAAGACUGACGCUCAGGUGCGAAAGCGUGGGGAGCAAACAGGAUUAGAUGCCCUGGUAGUCCACGCCGUAAACGAUGUCGACUUGGAGGUUGUGCCCUUGAGGCGUGGCUUCCGGAGCUAACGCGUUAAGUCGACCGCCUGGGGAGUACGGCCGCAAGGUUAAAACUCAAAUGAAUUGACGGGGGCCCGCACAAGCGGUGGAGCAUGUGGUUUAAUUCGAUGCAACGCGAAGAACCUUACCUGGUCUUGACAUCCACAGAACUUUUCAGAGAUGAGAAGGUGCCUUCGGGAACCGUGAGACAGGUGCUGCAUGGCUGUCGUCAGCUCGUGUUGUGAAAUGUUGGGUUAAGUCCCGCAACGAGCGCAACCCUUAUCUUUUGUUGCCAGCGGUCCGGCCGGGAACUCAAAGGAGACUGCCAGUGAUAAACUGGAGGAAGGUGGGGAUGACGUCAAGUCAUCAUGGCCCUUACGACCAGGGCUACACACGUGCUACAAUGGCGCAUACAAAGAGAAGCGACCUCGCGAGAGCAAGCGGACCUCAUAAAGUGCGUCGUAGUCCGGAUUGGAGUCUGCAACUCGACUCCAUGAAGUCGGAAUCGCUAGUAAUCGUGGAUCAGAAUGCCACGGUGAAUACGUUCCCGGGCAU
This 1363-nucleotide ribosomal RNA is filed under the name uncultured bacterium. RNAcentral describes it as "bacterial SSU rRNA". It matches the Rfam family "Bacterial small subunit ribosomal RNA", at positions 28 to 1381 of the family's 1533-position model. The record is from RNAcentral.